GUUCCAGGCUGACAAGCCCGGGCUUGUGCUUAUUUCACUGUCUAACCCUGCCCAGGCCCCGGGGAGAAGCCUGGUAUUCUUCGUGUUUAUUUAAUUGUCAACUCUCUGUGUUCUAAGACGAUACCCUGGCCUUGACUCAGUACAACCUAGGACUGUAAGUCCCAUCAUGUCUAUGGACUUCAGUUUCCAGACAUGAAACACAAGAGGCUUGGACGAGAUUAGAAAUCAAGAACUCGAAUGCGUAUGGUCAGAGCCACGAGAGUUUCCAUAAAGGAACACAACCAUGUGGACAACUUGAUUAUGCCCUACAAAACUGAAUUCCUGUGAGCAUUCCUCUUCAAGAUGGAAGAAAAAGGGAAUAUUUCACAACCCCAAUGGUGAAACGUCUGCCUAUAGCCAACAAUACAAUCUCCAUCCAUGUAUGAUGUGACUUGCUCCUACAUGCCUUCCACCAUGAUUAUGAGGCCUCCUGAGCCAUGUGGAACUGUGCUCAGCACUGAAUAGAAAGCCUGGCGCAUGUUCUGGAGGCUGGGAAGUCCACAAUCAAAGCACUAGCAUAUGAUGUCUGAAAAAUUACACAACAGCCUCAGACUGGUCGGACCCUUCAGGAUGAAUUCCGGAAGAAGACAUUGCUGUCAUAGGAGAUGACAGCUCCAAGCGUUAUUACCCCUUCAUGAAGAUGUUUCAGUGGGACAAGAUGUGAAGGUGGAAGACAAUGAUAUUGAUGAUCCUGACCCUGUGCAAGCCUAAGCUAAUAUGUGUGUUUGUGUCUUAGUUUUUAACAAAAAGUUUAAAAAGCAGACAAAAAAAUUGUAAUAGAAAAAAAUGCUUACAGAAAAAGAAUAAAAAGAAACAAAUUUUUACAGCU
Molecule: long non-coding RNA, 868 nt
Organism: Homo sapiens (human)
Lineage: Eukaryota; Metazoa; Chordata; Mammalia; Primates; Hominidae
Source: Ensembl